Molecule: RNA transcript, 667 nt
Organism: Daucus carota subsp. sativus
Lineage: Eukaryota; Viridiplantae; Streptophyta; Magnoliopsida; Apiales; Apiaceae
Gene name: MICOS complex subunit MIC10
Exons: 4
Source: RefSeq, a predicted model, not a curated record
ACUGUAAUUAUACGGGGAAUUAUAAAGAGAGGCUGAAGGUCUCCCCCUAAAAUAAAAAUGGCGGAAAACAGACGAGGAGGUUAUGAUAUUAAUGACAAGUGGGACGCUUGUCUUGAUCUGGGCAUCCGUCGUUUCGUUUACUCUUCUUUCGCCGGCGCUGCUUCCGCCCUUCUCUUCUUCCGAACUCCUGCGACCCGAUGGGCAUCAGUAGCUUUUGGUGCUGGAUUGGGUAUUGGAUCCGCUUACACAGAGUGCUCUAUUAAAUUUGAUGGGGCUUCAACAAAGGGAUGGUGUUUUCUUGACGUAUUUGCUUAAGUCAAUGGAAGCAGCUUGUUGUUGGUGCCUUUGUUGUCCCUUCCAAUCAAGAAUCUGGGCCUCACAGUCACUAGCCAGACUAGUCAAGUAUGCGGAUAUUAAAUCAGAUCUUGGCUACGGCAAGAUUGUUCGCCUAGUACUAUAUGUUGUGGUGGAUAGUUAAACUUUAAAAUUUUCAGUUUAUAGAAAAAGAGAUUAAUAAUCUGUUUUGCAGCGCCUUAAACGAGCUCUAUUUAUCUUUCUUUUUUUUUUUUUUUGUUUAGGAGUGGCUAUGAUCUUGCUCCAUGUCAAAUGGUAGAAGUGAAUUUAAGCAUUUAAUGUUGUAAUGUAGUAGAUACUGUAUUGGAGGUCA